GUCAAACAUAAACCCAAUCUGAUUCUCUAUACUGCACCUGCAAUCAAACUUGAAAAUUCAACACUUUAUUUUUCUUAAAAAUAUUCACCUCAUUUGCCCCUGAAUUUCAUUGGUCCGGGCAGAGGAACCACAGCUGGGCAAGUUUGUGAACCAGAGUCAGUGUCAGUGUAAGGCCCCAUCUGGAAUACUGCUUCCUGGCCUGGUGCCCCAGUACAGGAAGGAUGUGGAGCUGUUUGAGUGGGUCCAGAGGAGGGCCGGAAAGAUGAUCAAAGGGCUGGAGCACCUCUCCUGUGAUGAGAGGUUGAGGGAGCUGGGCUUGUUUAGCCUGGAAAAGACAAGGUUCCAGUGAGACCUUGUUGUGGCCUUCCAGUACUCAAAGGGAGCUUAUAAGCAGGAGUGGGACUAAAUUUUCACAUGAUCUGAUAGUGAUAUGAAGAUUUUUAUUUUUUUUUUCUCAGAUGAUAGUGAGGCACUGGAACAGGUUUCCCAGAGAAGCUGUGGAUGCCCCAUCCCUGGAGGUAUUCAAGGGCAAGUUGCAUGGGCCCUCAGCAACCUGAACCGGUAAAUGGCAGACAGCCCAUGGCAGGGGAGUUAGAACUUGAUGGUCCCUAGGGUCCCCCCCAACCUAAGCCAUUCUAUGAUUUUGUGUUGCAAUAUGCCACUUGGGAAUUAAGCCCUACUUCUCAGCAAAGCACUACAACACACAGUUCGGUGGUGCAAUGACUAAAUUUGUAGCAACAGGAACUAUGCCCUAGUAAAGUCUUCUCUUGUGAUGGAGCAGGAAAACAUGCCCUCUCCAAUCAGAAAAAGAAGGAAGAGUGAAAAUUGUUACUGAAAAUGAUACACAGUGCAGAGGGAACAAAUGCUAUGCUAGAAUUAAAAUUUUGUGAAGUUUUUAUUUUUCCUUGGAAAUUGCUUCAUUCACCAGCCAGAAAGAAUCACACACACCAGGAUGAGGAGGAUGAGAGGGUGGAUUUUGAAAGCCAGGAGUGUCAUGGUUACCUAGAUAAGUUUCAGUCUCUGCUGGGCACUAAGUGCAUAUGA
RNAcentral lists this long non-coding RNA (1044 nucleotides) under Coturnix japonica (Japanese quail). RNAcentral's name for it is "lncRNA (ENSCJPG00005011125.1)". Lineage: Eukaryota; Metazoa; Chordata; Aves; Galliformes; Phasianidae. The record is from RNAcentral.